Molecule: long non-coding RNA, 1653 nt
Filed under: Sus scrofa (pig)
Lineage: Eukaryota; Metazoa; Chordata; Mammalia; Artiodactyla; Suidae
Description: lncRNA (ENSSSCG00050076096.1)
Source: RNAcentral
UGCCCUCCCACCCUGGUGGUGAGGAAGAGAGAAGCUUCUGUUUACAGAGGCAGAAACUUGUAUUUACCGACAACAUACUGUGAACCAGGCAUGGUACUCGAACUUACGGUUGCAAGUUGACAGCAGGACUCAUGCACACUUGAGUCCUGGGGUUAAAAAGGGUUGGGGGGGCAGCGGCAUCCCCAGGCCUGCAUCUAACUUGAGGCCUCCCUCCCUAGUCUCCUCCACUCCAUUCCUGGAAGAAGAGAGCCAGCGAAUGCAAAGCCCCUAGGAGAUCUGGAAAUCAGCAGGGCUGGAAACCAGAGAAGGAGGGAGGGCCAGCCAGGGAGUGCCCUGAUCUCUUGUGCCAGAGGCUAGGGGUACAGUGAUGAACGCAUGUUUUCAUAUGUACAAAGGGGAGUGAAUGCUUUGAAGCUGCAAACCUGAUCCUUAAAACCCUUGCCAGCAACUCUCAGGGCCCCAGCUCCUUAAACGGGUUUGCUGCUCCGCUUCAUCUCCUACUCCUGUCUCCACUCCUUGGCCCUUCCUCCUGCUCCCCUGCAUCAGGCCCUUUCCUCCUCAGGACCAUGCCCGACCCGGUUUGCUGGGCAAGCUCAGCCUUGGCAUCAUCUCUUGCCCUGUUGCACAUCAUGCAGCUCCUUUUAUUAUACUGAUCACGUGUGUGCUAAGAGCCUGUGGUAGAUACAUACUGUGAAUAUGAGGCAGACAGGGUAAGGGGGUCUGGGGAGAAAGAGAACCAGGCUUGGCUUUCUGGCCAUAAGAGGAGGUCGUUGGGGGGAGUUCCCUGGCAGCCUAGUGUUUAAGGAUCUGACAUUAUCACUGCUGUGACUCAGGUUGCUGCUGUGGUGGAGGUUCGAUCCCUAGCCCAGGAACUUCCACAUGCCAUGGGUGUGACCAAAAAAAAAAAAAAAAAAAGAGGCNUGAUCCCUUGCCUUGAUCAGUGGGUCAGGGAUCUGGCAUUGCCAUGAGCUAUGGUGCAUGUCACAGAUGAGGCUCAGAUCCUGUGUAGCUGUGGUGUAGGCCGGCAGCUGCAGCUCCGAUUUGACCCCCUAGCCUGGGACCUUCCAUAAGCCGUGGGUAGGGCCCUCAAAAGAUAAAAAAAAAAAAAAAGGGCCUUUUUGACUUAAGCCAUUUUGUGAUCUAAGCCUGAACACUACAGGUCUUAACAGGCCUCCGGAGUAAUUAAAGGUCUUAAGGAAUGGGAGGAAAUGCAGGAACAAAGGAAAAGCAGUCAAGAAACAAUAGUUCAGAGAUAAAAUAGAGUCCUAGUCCCUCCUCAAGGGAUCCACAGCACAAUCUGAUUCUUAUCUCUGAGUUCUUCGGGAGGGGGCUAAGGGCCCCACCCAGGUCGAGGAUGGAACAAGGACGGGACUUUUCUGACUUCAGUCAACUAAAGCUCGAACUCGGUUGACCUCUGCCCCCGUUCUGUGCUGAAUUCUCCAUGGCUCAAGCCCCUUCAUGAAUGUGUGUACCUUUAGCUUGAAAAUGCCCCAGUUUUGCUGGGGAGACACACGGCUUUGGGAAAGAUCGCUCGUGUUCAAAUUCUUCCUUCUCCCACGGUCUCGUUUGGUUGUCUCUUUAGGCCAACCCAGUUCUUAGGUAACAUAGUUUUCCAUGGGUCCGUUCAUGCAGUCCCUACCACGCCAUCACGUG